GGAUCCUUAGUAUAAUGGUAGUACCGCAGACUUUUAAUCUGUUAGUCUGGGUUCGAAUCCCAGGGGAUCCACCA
Molecule: transfer RNA, 74 nt
Filed under: bacterium
Lineage: Bacteria
Description: tRNA-Lys
Rfam family: tRNA
About the family: Transfer RNA (tRNA) molecules are approximately 80 nucleotides in length. Their secondary structure includes four short double-helical elements and three loops (D, anti-codon, and T loops).
Source: RNAcentral